AUCUAGAUUCUAUAUCUAGAUUUCUAGACAUCACGACGUGCUGUCGUUUCUUCAUCACUUAGGUCUAGAUCACUUUCAUCACCACUUGAUGAACCAGUACUUGAAUCAUCUAUUUCAGCUAUCGGCACAUCGUCACUUUCAUUGUCAGCUUCAAUUGUCUGGAUCCUAUGACGUGUGCUGAAAGCCAAUAUUAUUGAGACUGUACCUUUGAUAAAUGCAGUUGUGCACUAUACCUGAUUUGUUUGACAAGUUGGCCCCUGCCACCCCCCAAAAAUUGUAUCAGAUACUUUCUCAGGAGCUGCUUUACAGAGGUACAUGUAAAUAACAUAUCAAAGUAUCUGGAAGAAAGGGUAAGUGAUAUAAUUAAGUUAUAUCCAUUCCACAGACACUUCUACCUUAAAAUUGACAGAUUGGAGAAAAGGCAAAAUUAAAGUUUAAUGACAAAAUAUUCUAUUAUAUUCAUAUAUCUAUAGCCAAAUCAAUGCAACAAAUUGAUAAAAAAUCCAAUUUAAAAAAAAAAAAAUUAAAUUAAAAAACAAAGCAGCCUAGAAAAUAAAUGUAAAAAAAAAGUUUUAGCAAUAACACUCCACACACCAAAAAAAAAAUUUCUAAAAAUUUCCUGCAUUGUAGCUUUUACCCCCCUCAGAAUUAAAAAAACUGCUGCUCUACAAUCUGCCUUGCAUUUACUAUCUGUUUUCUUCUUCUCUUUGCCUCUAAUCCCUUCCUCAUUUCAGCUUUGUUAAUCCGAAGAAUGUCUCGGUUUUUUUUCUUCUUUUUUUUAAAGUUACACUGCUAACUUUGCAGCCAAUGUUCUCUAGAAAUUGGUGGAGACCGACACUCCCUGGAUUGAAUUCAGCAAUUGACAAUGCAGCGCUCACUUCCACUCUUUUUUUUAUACAAAGAUGUGUUUUGGGAUCUGUGUCCAAAUCUUUGCAUGGAUUCUUUCAUUAGCAUUAUGUGUCAUGCCAGAUAAGCAGCGUUCAAGCAAACUGUCAGAGGUGAGCCUUUCAUAUAAGGGCUUUACCUUCUUAGCCACAACCUCUGACAGAAAGAAGCUGCUUUUACCUGUGUGUGAAGGUGGUGUUUGCUCGAGAGCCAUGUCUCUCUACCCAAAAGCACCAAGAUCAACUCCUGUGGGACAGUCAUGGUGGUUGGGCACUUCGUCAGAGGAGGCUGCAUGGUUGAAGCUCAUAAAAAUUUUUUUCCUCAGUUCUUCUACAUCGGCACAUUUACUGGCUACUGCCUCCUUAUAAUACCUCUGAAGAAGGUUCAUCUUUGCCUGUAAAUUGAGGAAUAUUUUAAAAAAUUUAAAA
Molecule: long non-coding RNA, 1313 nt
Organism: Physella acuta
Lineage: Eukaryota; Metazoa; Mollusca; Gastropoda; Physidae
Source: RefSeq, a predicted model, not a curated record